This 301-nucleotide small RNA is filed under the name Histoplasma capsulatum. Its description in RNAcentral is "hypothetical RNA". RNAcentral also lists the same sequence under 1 other name. Lineage: Eukaryota; Fungi; Ascomycota; Eurotiomycetes; Onygenales; Ajellomycetaceae. The record is from RNAcentral.
UUUAUAUAUGCUGGGCGAAGGAAGUGGAAGCGCACGGGAUACAGUCCUUUUUAAAAAACCAAAAAUCUUAUUUAGGUCCUCGCAGUUCAUCCUAUGAGGCCCCAGCCAACCAACAUAUAGCCUUUGGGCGUCUGUCAUGCGGCAACCGUUGCUCGCAUCCUGGACUUUUGGCCCGUCUUCCUUGCCAAUAGGACACUCCUGUACUCCGUAUGUCGAAGAAAGUCAUCAGCCAACAACGAACCAAACCACCCCCUUCCUUCUCGCGGACACAUGCGCCUGUGCAUGCAUUAUUAUUGACCAC